Molecule: long non-coding RNA, 2278 nt
Organism: Patella vulgata (common limpet)
Lineage: Eukaryota; Metazoa; Mollusca; Gastropoda; Patellidae
Exons: 4
Source: RefSeq, a predicted model, not a curated record
CAUAUCUUUAAAGUGUGAUGCUAUGGAUCAGGUGGUGGCGACCGGGGCAAGAUGUGGUGAAUGUGUUUCUGUUAAACCAAAGUCAGUAAUUCGCGCAAAUGGAAGUAAUCAAGGUGGUGUUAAAAAUUUAACUUGGAUUAUCGUCGGUGUAAGUGUAGUAGGCGGACUUCUUAUCUUAAUUGUACUGGUGGUGAUUGCAGUUCACAUGAUAAAAAAGCGUAAGAAGAAUAAAACCAAUAGAGAUCCCAACAGAAACAACCAAACCACACACCCAAACCCAUAUGAGGACCCACCGGAUAUCACUUCAUUUCCGAUGACUUCCAAACUUAACAACACUGACAGUCAAUCUGAGAAAGAACCCAAAGCUAAUAGUGAUACUGACGACAAAAUCCUUUCUGAAUCAGAAAAAAAGAAAAGAGAACACAACCAAGGAUACACCCAGGUGAAUAAGACGUUUCGGAUGUAUCCUGAAUUACCAGAACAAAGUCCGCAGCAUGAUUCAGAGAAGAUCAAUAAUAAGAGUACCUCCAGGGAUUCCAUUGUGGAUCCAACUUAUAAUCAUCUUGGUGAAGCGAGAAAACCAGAGAACAGUGGAUCCUCUACCUAUGACCACAUUUAAUAACCGAUAUUUGCACACUUUAUUUAUUCAUUUUAUUAAAGAUGCAUUAUGUAGACUGUUUAAUAUCGCAGCAACGGUACUUGCCAAACGGCACUAAUUUGCGAUUAUCCAUUUUAUCGUUAUUUUUUUCUUUAAUCUCGCGAACGUUCUUAUCAUUUUAAAUCUCUGCCUACAGGUGUUCUAACAAAGUUGAUAAUAGGCUUGUCAUGUUAAUAAUAAAUGUCUAAAUAAGAUUGGAAGCCAAAAUAAAGAUAUGCAAUAGGCAGAUUUAGCUCUUAUAUAAUGCAUAUCUGCGGAUACUUAUACUGUUAGGCUUUUUUAGAUUUAUAAUUGCUAAUCGUUUUAUUUGAUAGCCUGUCGGUGUUUUGAAACACACAUGUAAAAUGAUCUUAUAUAUCUAUAUUGUAGAUGAACAAGAACCCAUAGUACAAAGUUUUGUAUAUCGCAUUAUUGAGUUUAUAGUCCAAAGAUAUAUUUUUAUAUUGCAUUAUAAAGUUCUUUAAAUCUACAAUACAAAAUAAUAGUCAUGUUUGUGACAUUGAUUACAAUAAUUAAUACGUCUCCUACUGAGUGUGUUAACAUUAUCAGCCCAUACUAAUAUUAAUACAAAGUUAUUUUCGUAUAUUGCAUUGAAAUCUUAAACAAUGUUCUAUAUAACAUAUGUUUCCCUGCUUUCAAAACUUGAACAGUAAAUGGGUUGUGAUGACUGAAAUUUAAAACCCUCCAAUCGUUUUUACUUCCCGAUUUAACAAAACAUUGUAGCCUAUUUCUUUACCUUUGUCGUUUGAUCUGCAAUCUUAAACCAAACAAAAGAUGUCUUGUAAAAUACGGGACAACUAUUUCUGGGGUGAUUUAACUUAACGUCCUAUUAAUUUAAAAUCUUGAGUAUAUUUUAGUAAUGUCAUAUUCUAUCACUAGCUUGCAUUACAAAAUUAUUUAUUGUAUUAUUCAGUCGCGCAUAAUACAUGCUUACCCUUUUAAUAUGUCUAAUAAUACCAAUCGGGUUAGGUUAUAUCAAUGUAUACAUGUACACUAUAUCUGAAUAAUUCAUAUUUACAUUAUACCUGAAUAAUAAAUUUUUACACUAUACAUGUUCUUUAAGAGACGGACAUACGCCAUGUUGCGGUGGGAGGGAGGGGGGUGUUCCCAGACAUCAAAUUCCGACUGCGCAGGGUUGUUUUACGUGCACGCCAGCGUGUUCGUGGGACCUCGGUUCUUCAUUCCACCCGAACUAGACGCUGUUCCUUGUUAAGCCAUCUGUCUAGCACCACUUACUGGAGGAAACUACACCGGAAAAUUUCAAUGACCCUUCUCGGCCCCGACCAACACCGGAGUCACACACACGUCAUACUCAAAGACCCGCUGGGGCUCCCUUUUUAUAUCAUAUGAGACACAUCAGAGAUGCAGAAUAAUUGUUGCAUUAUAGUUAAUGUUCAUUUAUUAUUUCACUAUCGACACUUUAAUAUUUUAAGAAUUCCACGAUUACAGUAUUGUUAUUUCUUUAUUGUUGCAUAAUCCUAUUUUACUAAUUGAGUAAUUAUUAUUUUUAUCAUUGUUUAAUUUUUAAUACUAUAAUAUUAAAUAUUUAUUUAUAGUUUUUAUCAUUAUUAUUGAAUAAUAACUAUUUACAUAACCGCUUGAGAUAUUAAAGAUAGUAUA